GAGACUCUGUGCGCGUGCAUAUCAAUAAGCGGAGGAAAAGAAACUAACAAGGAUUCCCCUAGUAACGGCGAGUGAAGCGGGAAGAGCUCAAAUUUGAAAUCUUAAAGGGUUUCCCUUUACGAAUUGUAGUUUAAAGAAGUGUUUUCUGUUGGAGUUUCGGUAAAAGUUCUUUGGAAUAGGACAUCAUAGAGGGUGAGAAUCCCGUAUUUGACCGUUACUUUCCAGCUGUGUGAUACACUUUCAAAGAGUCGGAUUGUUUGGGAAUGCAGUCCAAAAUGGGUGGUAAAUUUCAUCUAAAGCUAAAUAUUGGCGAGAGACCGAUAGCGAACAAGUACCGUGAGGGAAAGAUGAAAAGAACUUUGAAAAGAGAGUUAAACAGUACGUGAAAUUGUCAAAAGGGAAGCGUUUGACACCAGUGUUGUUUAGUUGAAAAUCAAUUCAAUAAUUUUUGAUUUUGAGUAGUAUUGACUUCAUCAGCUUGCUGCUUUCUUUUCCGAAAUUAUUGAAUGCACUUUUCAGUUAACAAGUCAACAUCAGUUUCUUUUGUUGUAAAAGGGUAAGAGGAAGGUGGCUUACGCUUCGGCGUAAGUGUUUAUAGCCUUUUACCUCUGCAAUCGGAGAGAUUGAGGACAGCAGCGUAGACUCUUCGGGGUUAGAUACACUUGUGCUAAGCUAUAGCCUUGUAUAGACAACUUGUUGACUAUGCUCAGUCAUGUAGCUUACUCGCUUGUGCUAUUUUACCUACGCUUAGGAUGUUGACAGCAGUAUAGACUGU
Molecule: ribosomal RNA, 775 nt
Filed under: uncultured Neocallimastigales
Lineage: Eukaryota; Fungi; Neocallimastigomycota; Neocallimastigomycetes; Neocallimastigales
Description: partial large subunit ribosomal RNA
Rfam family: Eukaryotic large subunit ribosomal RNA
Source: RNAcentral